GGGGCAACCUGGCGGCGAGCGGCGAACGGGUGAGUAAUGCAUCGGAACGUGUCCAUGUCGUGGGGGAUAGCCCGGCGAAAGCCGGAUUAAUACCGCAUACGCCCGAGAGGGGAAAGUGGGGGACCGCAAGGCCUCACGCGAUUGGUUCGGCCGAUGUCCGAUUAGCUAGUUGGCGGGGUAAAGGCCCACCAAGGCGAUGAUCGGUAGCUGGUCUGAGAGGAUGAUCAGCCACACUGGGACUGAGACACGGCCCAGACUCCUACGGGAGGCAGCAGUGGGGAAUUUUGGACAAUGGGGGCAACCCUGAUCCAGCCAUUCCGCGUGAGUGAAGAAGGCCUUCGGGUUGUAAAGCUCUUUUGUCCGGAACGAAACGGUGGGCGUGAAUAUCGUCCACUACUGACGGUACCGGAAGAAUAAGCACCGGCUAACUACGUGCCAGCAGCCGCGGUAAUACGUAGGGUGCGAGCGUUAAUCGGAAUUACUGGGCGUAAAGCGUGCGCAGGCGGUUUUGUAAGCCAGAUGUGAAAUCCCCGGGCUUAACCUGGGAAUGGCAUUUGGGACUGCAAGGCUCGAGUGCGGCAGAGGAGACUGGAAUUCCUGGUGUAGCAGUGAAAUGCGUAGAUAUCAGGAGGAACACCGAUGGCGAAGGCAGGUCUCUGGGCUGACACUGACGCUCAUGCACGAAAGCGUGGGGAGCAAACAGGAUUAGAUACCCUGGUAGUCCACGCCCUAAACGAUGUCGACUGGUUGUUGGGGGUUUGACACUCUCAGUAACGAAGCUAACGCGUGAAGUCGACCGCCUGGGGAGUAC
This 811-nucleotide ribosomal RNA is filed under the name uncultured beta proteobacterium. Its description in RNAcentral is "bacterial SSU rRNA". It matches the Rfam family "Bacterial small subunit ribosomal RNA", at positions 76 to 883 of the family's 1533-position model. Lineage: Bacteria; Pseudomonadati; Pseudomonadota; Betaproteobacteria. The record is from RNAcentral.